This 497-nucleotide ribosomal RNA is filed under the name uncultured bacterium. RNAcentral describes it as "partial 16S ribosomal RNA". It matches the Rfam family "Bacterial small subunit ribosomal RNA", at positions 28 to 507 of the family's 1533-position model. The record is from RNAcentral.
GAUGAACGCUGGCGGCGUGCCUAAUACAUGCGAGUCGAGCGAACGGACGAGAAGCUUGCUUCUCUGAUGUUAGCGGCGGACGGGUGAGUAACACGUGGAUAACCUACCUAUAAGACUGGGAUAACUUCGGGAAACCGUAGCUAAUACCGGAUAAUAUUUUGAACCGCAUGGUUCAAAAGUGAAAGACGGUCUUGCUGUCACUUGUAGAUGGAUCCGCGCUGCAUUAGCUAGUUGGUAAGGUAACGGCUUACCAAGGCAACGAUGCAUAGCCGACCUGAGAGGGUGAUCGGCCACACUGGAACUGAGACACGGUCCAGACUCCUACGGGAGGCAGCAGUAGGGAAUCUUCCGCAAUGGGCGAAAGCCUGACGGAGCAACGCCGCGUGAGUGAUGAAGGUCUUCGGAUCGUAAAACUCUGUUAUUAGGGAAGAACAUAUGUGUAAGUAACUGUGCACAUCUUGACGGUACCUAAUCAGAAAGCCACGGCUAACUACGUG